RNAcentral lists this long non-coding RNA (394 nucleotides) under Nicotiana benthamiana. Its description in RNAcentral is "long non-coding RNA (NBEN_LNC019405)". The record is from RNAcentral. Lineage: Eukaryota; Viridiplantae; Streptophyta; Magnoliopsida; Solanales; Solanaceae.
UCAGGCUAGAGCCAAGAGCUUCUGGUAGCUGCGCGAUAUUAGAACAACAAAAGAAGCUCUAAUAUCUUUCAACUGGAAUACUGGACUAUUGCUAGGAAAAAUGAUCAAAUUGGAGGAAAAUGGAGUAGGUAAACCUACCCAUGCCCAAUAUUUUUGUGAAAAUUAGCAUAUGACAUAAUAAACAAAAAUUCAAAUACUGGAAAAAGUCGUAUAUUUGCCUGACAAUGAGAUCCUGAGGAAGAAUUCAAUCUAAUGCUUCUCUUUUUCAUCUGAUCCUAUAUUCCUGAUAAAUUUUAUUGGGAAGAUGACGUUCAUGUUUGUUGGAAUAUGACUUUUCCAUAACGUAAUUAGAAUACCGCAUGCUGCAUGUAAUGUAAUCUGUUCAAUCUUUUUG